CCUACGGGAGGCAGCAGUCGAGAAUCUUCGGCAAUGGGCGCAAGCCUGACCGAGCGACGCCGCGUGGAGGACGAAGGCCUUCGGGUUGUAAACUCCUGUCGGGGGGGAACAAGGCGGCGCGAAGAGCGUCGCUCGAGUGAUCCCCGGAGGAAGCACGGGCUAAGUUCGUGCCAGCAGCCGCGGUAAGACGAACCGUGCGAACGUUAUUCGGAAUCACUGGGCUUAAAGCGCGUGUAGGCGGGCCAGCACGUCGGUCGCUGAAAGCCCCCGGCUCA
This 275-nucleotide ribosomal RNA is filed under the name uncultured Singulisphaera sp. RNAcentral's name for it is "partial 16S ribosomal RNA". It matches the Rfam family "Bacterial small subunit ribosomal RNA", at positions 338 to 611 of the family's 1533-position model. Lineage: Bacteria; Pseudomonadati; Planctomycetota; Planctomycetia; Isosphaerales; Isosphaeraceae. The record is from RNAcentral.